RNAcentral lists this long non-coding RNA (1492 nucleotides) under Medicago truncatula (barrel medic). RNAcentral describes it as "long non-coding RNA (MTRU_LNC006485)". The record is from RNAcentral. Lineage: Eukaryota; Viridiplantae; Streptophyta; Magnoliopsida; Fabales; Fabaceae.
CAAACUAAGGGAGAAAAUGAUGGAUAUAGAGAAGUGAGACAUCUUGGUGUUUCAGUUAGGAACACCGCCAAAGAAUGAGUGAAAAAGCAUUAUACAGCCUGAAAUACGUGAAGAGUUGUUCAGAAAAAAAGAUAAGGUACAAUGGAUACUUAAGAAUAUCAGCUAAAAGAAACUACAUUCACAUAAUAAAUCCAAGAAAAUUUGGAGUUGAAUGUUUCUCCUUUUUAAACUUCAUGGAGUCUCGACCGACCUUUAGGGGUUUGAGUUGCCUGCUGCAAAGCUUUUCUCUAUCCUUCUCCAGAUCGGUAACCUUCUUACUUAGCAAUAACAUAAGUUACAAGAAAAUAUGGUUAACAAAAAGGGAAAAUGAAUCAUACCAUUUAUAUGGGGUCUUGAAGUUAGGUUUUGGGGUUGAAGGAGGAACCAUGAUGUAGAAUGAAUACAAGGUUAUGGAAAUGAAUUCACUUAUAUGGAAUAAUGUUUCAAAAAUAAGGCAAAAUCCUCACUAUGGAAAUUGGGCAGAUCACAAUAACCUUUGGAAUAAUUCAAAGUUUCAAAGUCUGUUGACACGGCUCAACGGUGUUUCCACUUAUCAUAAGGAACAAUUCUUUUGGUCGGUACAUUACAAACAAUCAUGAUUAUGCUAAGGCAUGGAUGCCAAAACAAAAUUUCAUUACUAUUCACAAAAAGAGUAUCCACAAGGCCAACUAUCUUGUCGAUUCUACAACCUAAUAACAAAAAUAAAUCUCAUAAGAAUCUCUCUUUGGAAAGCUGCAAAAGGGAACGUUUCCUAAUAAUAAUACAUCCUUGCUAGGGCUAAGACCAGGGCGUAGGAACCUCAAAAUGAAGAUCAUGAGAUCAAUAUGUUUGCCCUAAAGAAAGCUGAUGACAUCUAGUCAUUACAUGAUUUUAUAUGUAUUUUGAUCACAAAUUGGAGUUCACAGGGCAUCUUAUGCAGCAAAAAGAGCAGCAAAACUGAAGAAAAUGCAAAGAAGAAAACGUGUCACGAUUUGGAACAAACGUGACACGAUUUUAGAAGACCAAAACAUGCUUUCGACAUUGAGGAAAACGUGUCACGAUGGCAAAAACGUGACAUGAUUUGAGGAAACCCUAAUUCAGUUGUUUGUUAUUCAGGAAAACGUGUCACGAUUUACUUAAAACGUGACACGAUUUACUUAAAACGUGACACGAUUUUGGGCGAAUUUUUGUGCCUAUUUAAGCUAAAGUAUAUUCCAAAGACAAGGGUUACUAUUUGAAGAGAGCAAAGUUCGAUUUUGAGACUACAAGACGGCUAGGAGGACGAUUUCUUCAUCCUUUUACUUAUUCAUGUAUGUAUGUAUUGAUUCCUCUAAUGAUUAUGUUAUUUAUAAACACCAUUAUGAGUAGCUAAAUCCAUUAGAGGUUAGGUCUGAGAUGUUUUUUUGUAACCCUAAUUGAACCAUGUUGCUGUGAAACUCUAUUUAUUGUGAAUGACAAUCUAGUUUUUAUUCAA